Molecule: ribosomal RNA, 253 nt
Filed under: uncultured bacterium
Lineage: Bacteria
Description: partial 16S ribosomal RNA
Rfam family: Bacterial small subunit ribosomal RNA
Source: RNAcentral
UACGUAGGGGGCUAGCGUUGCUCGGAAUUACUGGGCGUAAAGGGCUCGUAGGUGGCCAACUAAGUCAGACGUGAAAUCCCUCGGCUUAACCGGGGAACUGCGUCUGAUACUGGAUGGCUUGAGAUUGGGAGAGGGAUGCGGAAUUCCAGGUGUAGCGGUGAAAUGCGUAGAUAUCUGGAGGAACACCGGUGGCGAAGGCGGCAUCCUGGACCAACACUGACACUGAGGAGCGAAAGCCAGGGGAGCAAACGGG